CAGCCGCCACGGUAAUAUGGAGGGCGCGAGCGUUACCCGGAUUUACUGGCGUAAAGGGCGUGUAGGCGGCCUGGGGCGUCCCAUGUGAAAGGCCACGGCUCAACCGUGGAGGAGCGUGGGAUACGCUCAGGCUAGGGGGUGGGAGAGGGUGGUGGAAUUCCCGGAGUAGCGGUGAAAUGCGCAGAUACCGGGAGGAACGCCGAUGGCGAAGGCAGCCACCUGGUCCACUUCUGACGCUGAGGCGCGAAAGCGUGGGGAGCAAACCGGAUUAGAUACCCCUGUAGUCCCUGUCUCUUAUACA
RNAcentral lists this ribosomal RNA (301 nucleotides) under uncultured bacterium. RNAcentral's name for it is "partial 16S ribosomal RNA". It matches the Rfam family "Bacterial small subunit ribosomal RNA", at positions 509 to 808 of the family's 1533-position model. The record is from RNAcentral.